Molecule: ribosomal RNA, 253 nt
Filed under: uncultured bacterium
Lineage: Bacteria
Description: partial 16S ribosomal RNA
Rfam family: Bacterial small subunit ribosomal RNA
Source: RNAcentral
UACAGAGGUCCCGAGCGUUGUUCGGAUUUACUGGGCGUAAAGGGUGCGUAGGCGGUCGGAUAAGUCUGAUGUGAAAUCUCAGAGCUCAACUCUGAAACUGCAUUGGAUACUAUUCGGCUUGAGGUCUGGAGGGGGGACUGGAAUUCUCGGUGUAGCAGUGAAAUGCGUAGAUAUCGAGAGGAACACCAGUGGCGAAGGCGAGUCCCUGGACAGAUCCUGACGCUGAGGCACGAAAGCUAGGGGAGCAAACAGG